CCUCACAGUGCGAUUGUGACAUAUAUGGAUGCUAGUGUGACUAUACAUGCAAAAUUGUCACUUGUAUGAUUCUGACUGGGACGAGUGUGAGUACAAUUACAAAAUGUGAUUUACACAGCAGGGCAAAAACAUUCUUAACAAAAAAUGAAUCAAGGCAAAACUGUUAGUUACAAACUCCGGUGAGAAUGACGAAAACAUGCACUGAGUCAUGGUAAAAUGAAAUUAACAAGAGCUCUACCUUCACACUAGAAUGGAAAACUGAACUCAACAGGGCUUGAUUUUGCUGCAAGCAUGGCAUGAAAUAGCUCUACCAAUUCCCCUCAAGCCAACUAACAGAUCUUGCAAAAUAUUGAGUGGUCUCAACUCCAAAGGUGUGUGGCUGAAAUCAUUCAUGAACUCAAUGGCUGUUUGCAGGUGACUUCCUAGUUUGUGCUCAGGCAAUUGAUUCUUACUGAAAUCUGAUAUGGAACAAUCCUCUCCAUCUGAUGCAGAGAGGAAUUCUGGACUCACUGUAGCAUCCUUUUGCCCAGCAGCUCCUUUGAGUUUCUCUACAGUUCUCAAGGAGACGUGGAAUACUGCUGAGACAAUACUUCCUUCUUUUGAUGGGAGAGGAUGGAAGCAGAGAGGAAGAGGAGUAGAUGGUGAUAAGGAGUGGCAAGGGUACAUGUACAGCAUGGCCUCAGUUAUUCAUAACUUUGUCACUUCUCCGCUGGACUACAGCAAUGUGAUAAACCAACCUGGGCAUGAAGCCUUCCGUGCUUAGGAAACUCCAACUAACACAAAAAACUUCAUUGCAUCUCCUCAGCAACAUAGGCUACUGUGAGCAUAUCAAACCUGUCCUUUGCUCUCUACACUGACUUCCCAUAUAAUUUCAAAUUAAGUCCAUGGUCUCAGUUCUUAUCUUCAAGGUGCUUCAUGGCUUGAUCCCAGGAUAUGUAGACAACUAGAUUCCUCUGCACAAUGGACCCCUCUACAAUAAGGGUAAAGCUUGUCCAUGCAGGAGACAGAACUUUCUUUGGGGCUGGUCUGAGACUGUGAAAUGAACUCCCCCUGGAAGUAAGAACCACUGCAAACCUCACCGCUGUUUGCUCCAAGACCAAGGCACAUUUCUUUGACCGUACCUUCUCCAACAUAAAUAUAUAGCAAUGUGCAUAGAUUUAAAAAAUAUCCCCCCUUCCUCCAGCUAGAAAACCCACAACUCUCUCCCAAAACAAGACACUCCAGUACAUGCGCUUCUCCCCCAUGUGGCAGUCAUGUUAGUCAAUGCACGACUUAGGUACUCAGAUACUAUGGUGAUGAGUGUGGCAUAAGAACCUUUACAGAAUAGCUAGGAUCACCAUGACAUCUGGGUGCCAACAAAAUUAAGCAACAUUCAGUCUGAAGGACUGCAUUU
Molecule: long non-coding RNA, 1393 nt
Organism: Mauremys mutica (yellowpond turtle)
Lineage: Eukaryota; Metazoa; Chordata; Testudines; Geoemydidae
Exons: 4
Source: RefSeq, a predicted model, not a curated record